UCGCCCAUGUAAGACCUACUAUGUCUUAGAUGAGUAACACGGGGGGUAGAUGAAUUCUCUCAAAAACCUGAAGUACAGGCAUACUAUUCCUUGCUUCGGAUCCUGUCGGGAGACACAUAU
Small nucleolar RNA from Triplophysa rosa, 120 nucleotides. RefSeq annotates it as small nucleolar RNA SNORA26. NCBI's taxonomy places the organism in Eukaryota, Metazoa, Chordata, Actinopteri, Cypriniformes, Nemacheilidae. The transcript has a single exon. The record is from RefSeq and is a predicted model, not a curated record.